GCCGCAAGGCUGAAACUCAAAGGAAUUGACGGGGCCCGCACAAGCGGUGGAGCAUGUGGUUUAAUUCGAGCUACGCGAAGAACCUUACCAGGUCUUGACAUACUAUGCAAAUCUAAGAGAUUAGACGUUCCCUUCGGGGACAUGGAUACAGGUGGUGCAUGGUUGUCGUCAGCUCGUGUCGUGAGAUGUUGGGUUAAGUCCCGCAACGAGCGCAACCCUUAUUAUCAGUUGCCAGCAUUAAGUUGGGCACUCUGGUGAGACUGCCGGUGACAAACCGGAGGAAGGUGGGGAUGACGUCAAAUCAUCAUGCCCCUUAUGACCUGGGCUACACACGUGCUACAAUGGAUGGUACAACGAGUUGCGAACUCGCGAGAGUAAGCUAAUCUCUUAAAGCCAUUCUCAGUUCGGAUUGUAGGCUGCAACUCGCCUACAUGAAGUCGGAAUCGCUAGUAAUCGCGGAUCAGCAUGCCGCGGUGAAUACGUUCCCGGGCCUUGUACACACCGCCCGUCACACCAUGAGAGUUUGUAACACCCAAAGUCGGUGGGGUAACCUUUAGGAACCAGCCGCCUAAGGUGGGACAGAUGAUUAGGGUGAAGUCGUAACAAGGUAACCA
RNAcentral lists this ribosomal RNA (614 nucleotides) under uncultured Lactobacillus sp. RNAcentral's name for it is "bacterial SSU rRNA". It matches the Rfam family "Bacterial small subunit ribosomal RNA", at positions 885 to 1502 of the family's 1533-position model. The record is from RNAcentral. Lineage: Bacteria; Bacillati; Bacillota; Bacilli; Lactobacillales; Lactobacillaceae.